This is a long non-coding RNA of Mya arenaria, 4975 nucleotides long. RefSeq lists it as uncharacterized. The record is from RefSeq and is a predicted model, not a curated record. Lineage: Eukaryota; Metazoa; Mollusca; Bivalvia; Myida; Myidae. The transcript is spliced from 5 exons.
CUUUCUUUUACUAGUACUGGCUUCUUCUAGUAAUUGGCCUCUACUAAUACUGGCUUCUAUUAGUACUGACUUCUACUUGUACUGACUUCUACUAGUACUGGCUUCUAUUAGUACUUGACUUCUACUACAACAUGGAUUCUACCAGUACUGGCUUUCACUAGUACUGGCUUCUAUUAGUACUGACUUCUACUUGUACUGACUUCUACUAGUACUGACUUCAACUAGUAGUAGUACCAACUUAGUAGAAGUUGGCUUCUAAUUGUGCUGACUUUUAUUUGUACUGAUUUCUUCUAGUAUUUGUCUUAUACUAGUACUUGGCUUUGACUAUUACUGAUUUAUAAUAGAACUUCACUUCUAUUAGUACAGAUUGUUCUAGUAUCUGGAUUCUGCUAUUUUUUACUAGUACUGUUUACUAGUCCUCUAUUAGCUUUUCUACUAGUCCUUCUAAUAGUCUGUACAGGAAAUUGAAUCAAGAAUGAUCAAAAAAGCUGUUUUUACAAUAACACUUGAACAAAAAAGAUGUGACAGCCAUUGCAAAACAUGAGACAUCGCUGUAUAAAUGGAAGGGAAGAAGGCAGCGUAUUCUGGUAAAAAUCUCCACGAGGUGCAUGUUAUCAUUUUUGCUUAUGUAAUAGGAAGCUUUUCUAGAUUUUACAACAACCUUUUCACCAUAAAAGUAAUAAUUAGAAGUUUAACGUGUUAAAAUUGUAUAAAAGAAUUAAAUUGUAUUUUGGAAGGAAUAAAGUUACUGAGCAGUAAAACUUCAUCAUAAAAAUUGUUCAUUAUGUCUGUAUAUGAACAUGUAAAUGCCUAUUUUAACCUGAAAGCAUAUUUUCUUGACAUAAAAUUCUGUACUUAAUAAAAACAGUUAAUGGUAGGUCUCAUAAAAAUGGAGAAAAAUUAAUAACCUGUUAUAUUUUAUACCUGGUGUCAGGGAUACUUUGUGUACUAAGGCAUAUAUGACGGGCUUGGAAGGUGAAGAGAGGCAGUCAAAAUAGGUAUAAGUUGUUUAAAAAUCUUGUAAGAUAUCAGAUAAAAAGUGGUCAGUAAAAUUGAGUCUGAUUUUAAGCUGGACUAUUCGAAGAAUAAGGAGAGCUAUACUACUCACCCAAGCGUCUGCGUCGUGUCAUACCUUGGUUAAGGUUUUGCAUGCAAGCACAUCUCAGUAAAUACAUCAUGUUUUGCAUUGAAACUUUAGAUAUGUAUUCCCAACUAUCUAACCUACUAAAUUAAUGAAGUAAGAUAACAAUUAUUUGAAUUUAAUGCAAAUAAUAGGCCUUUAUUAUUCGACUUAGAAAUUCUGGUUAAGGUUUUGCGAUCAAGCACACAUAGGUUAAUAUCUCAGCAACUACUUGAGGUAUUGCAUUGAGACUUUAUACAAUGGUACUGAACCAUCCAACCUACUUAAUUAACCAAGUAAGAUAACUCUAGUUUGCAUUAAAUUCAAAUAAUGGCACCUUUUUUAUUCGACUUAAAAAUUCGGGUUAAGGUUUUGCAUGUAACCACAUUUAAGUCAAUACCUCAGCAAAUAAUUAUAUCAUGUUUUGCAUUGAAACUUUAGAUAUGUAUUCUUAACUAUCUAAUCUACUAAAUUAAUGAAAUAAGAUAACACUUUUUUGAAUAUAGUGCCAAUUAUGGGCCUUUAUUAUUUGACUUAGAAAUUCUGGUUAAGGUUUUGCAUGUAAGCACACAUAGGUUAAUAUCUCAGCAACUAUUUGAUGUAUUGCAUUGAGACUUUAUACAAUGGUAUUCAACCACCCAACCUAAUUGAAUAACCAAAUUAGAUAACUGUAUUUUGCAAAUAAUGGCCCUUUAUUAUUAGACUUAGAAAUUCUGGUUAAAAUUUUGCAUGUAUCUACAUUUAUGUUAAUAUCUCAGCACAUCAUGUAUUGCAUUGAAAUCUACUCUAACAGUGAUCCAUGCAUGUUUCGCCAAAACCUUUCAAUCCCUACACUGAAAAGCGGCGGAAUAGUCGAGCGUGCUGUCUCUGUGACAGCUCUUGUUUUUUAGUCUACUUGAGGUGAGUGAGACAUGACUGUUGCAAUGGCGGUUUCAUCCCAGUCAUGUUAGUCUGACUGUCCGGACUGAACCUUGUCCAGGCUGUAUCUUGACCAUGCAUUAUAGGAUUUACUUGAAUUUUAAAUUGCCAUUAAUGUUAACCAUGAUGAGGUGGUGUGUGGCACAAAAGACAAGGUCUGUACCUCAAAGGUCAAGUUCACACUUAGAGGUCAAAGGUUAAAAGUAUCCUUGUCUGUGCUGUGUCCUUACCAUUCCUUAUAGGAUUUUCUAAAAACUUGCCAUGAAAGUUCACCAUGAUGAGGUCUAUUGUGUCUGGUUCCACAUACUGUUCAUCUCAAUGUUAUUCUGUGUUGCAAUUGCAUGGAAGAAUAUCAUGUCUGUGUCAAAGGCUCUUUCAAAGGGCUCGCAAUGUCACCAUUUGGCAUAUUGUUUUUGGUACUUCUGCUAUUAUUUCACUCAGCUGGCACGAGACUUCAAUCAGUGCCAGACCUUGAAAGUUAAAGGAAUGGUGAUACUGUUGUAUGUUUAUUAAUAUUACAAAUGUUUCAGUUACUUAGUAUGUCAUCAGUCUGCUUAAAGCUCAAAGAUUGUUCAUAUGUUUGUAAGAAAUCACAAUAUUAGUACUAGAAUUACUGAACUUAAUGUCAUAACUGCCACCCCCAGAUUAAGCGAACAAACCAAACCUUUUAAGACAUUUGUUUAGAUCCAAGCUCUAGUGACCUACUUGGCAACUUUGUUCAGCAUUUUUACACUUAAUGAUUGUCUUGAUUUCUAUGAAAUUAUGUACAAGUGCUUGAUGUGUUUGCAGUUCUGUUUGCAGAAAGACCGUCACCCAAGUUGGAGAUAGUUCUAAAUCUGCUGUCAAGUACCACAUCCUGACAAACCUGUUAUCCAAAUAUGUGCCUCCACCAUUGUAAGGGCUUCCAUUAUUUGAGGACAGAUUCAAGUCAGAUCAGAAGGAUGCUUUAAUAUUGUUACAAAACUGAUACCCUUUGCAAGAAGGAGCAACUAGAUUAACAAAUCUUCAGGCCAUGUCAUGAAAGCAUGAAAAUACUACUGCAAAUUUAAUGGGACUAUUUCAUGUUUCUGCUGUUUGGUCAAGUGCGGCGCUGGCCACUAUUUGCAUGCCAGUGAUGGCCAAGCCAGAGAGCACAGUAGUGGGUUGAUUGCCUUUAAAUAUCGGAACAGGACACUUGUUGGACCUCAAAUGCUAUCAUUUAUCAGCCAAAGGAAUUUCCCCCUGCUGAUAGAAGGGACCUUACUAAACCAUGGUAAUCAUACUAAAUACCAGUACCUAUGUGUUAUACUUGUGUCCAGUGACGUAAGAAGACUGAUGCACAGUCAAACAAGUGGAUGGGAGACCAAAAAGGACAAGACUUAGUGGUAAGAAGCAGACUUGAGCCACUGACCACAACUGGUUGACAUUGGGACGCCAAUCAGGAUGAGAGGUCAUUCAUUGGAACGUGUUAGUGAAGUUGUUCAACUUGGUGCACGCCACUGGUCAGACUGAAGUGUAUGGAAGUCAAACCACUUGUAAACAACUUCCGAAUCUGCUACAGCCAUGGGUUAUAGCCCAACCAGUACUUAAGAAAACAACUGGUACUGACAAUAGUACAAAGUAGUACUAGAGAGAUAUAUGGGUCACAUAUCUAUGUUAAUCGUGAAUGAAGUGACAGUGGCCUGAAUCACUGACACUAGUACACCUACAGUGAUAGUGCGAUGUGGGAAAUGUAUUAAUAGAUGAAUGCUUUUAAUAAAAUUGUAUAACACAUGGAAUCUAUAUAUAUCUGUUAACAAGAAAAUGAUGAUUAUUUGCCAGGGAACAUUCCAAAAUAAAUACGAAACAUACAAGUAUAGAUCCAAAGCCUUCAGCUAAGACUGUGUAGACCCUUGUACAUGGCAUAAAGAGAGACAUAAUAGAAUUGUCUUGAUACUGUUUGACAUUGAUCAAGAAAGAAUUUUUAAACUGAAAUAAUGUUAGCUUCAAAAUCAUCCAUUAUAAUAUCACGCAUAAAUUAUGAAAUUAUCAUAAACAAAUCUUCCUAUAUGAAAUGUAACAGAACUUCUAUCACACUUUACCUUGACUAAGCUCUUAGACUUAUAUAAUAUUAUUAAUAAUUACCUAACUACCAUUUUUUCAAUAACCUUGAUGUUGACAAUUGGAAAUUGUGUGACUUUGUACUCACCUGUGAACUAUGCAUGCCAUUGUCCCCUUUCAAAGUAACACUUGAUCCCAGACAAAACUUAUUAAAUAUUAUUUCUUGUCAUAUUUAUAUCAAUUACAUGAAACUCGAUCUGAAUUUACGGCUCUAAGGUUACAAAGUCAAGCAUAAUUGGUAGAUAUUUUUCAUAUUUUUCGUUAAUGAGAAUGCUCUAUUGUGUCCUUGUGGACGUGAAGCUAAGGUUUCUCUUCAUUGUAUCUAUUAUCAUCAUUAAUUUCCUUCUUCAAUAACCAUUUUAACAAAGACUGUGACUCAUUUGAACUAGUGUCUGUUCUGUUGAUCUAGGGGGGAGAGAAUUUGCUUACAUGGAAAAAUAAUGAGCAAACAAAUUCAGACAGUGGGUUGUUGUAUGUAAAUCUAACAGAAAUAUAAUUUUGAAAUUUGCUGAAAUUACUGAUUUAGAUAUUGAGGCGGUUAAUUUGAUACUGAUAUUAACUUACUGUGCAAAGUAGAUACCUGUAAAGCUCAAUAAAACUCUUGUAAUGACUUUCAUAGAUAUUGUUACUUUAAUAAAUAUGUGGUAAUAUUGAAGUAAUGGAGUGAUAUUUGAUUUUUACAAAGAUUGUCAGGGGGAUACGUUGCUAUAAAAUAUGGGUUUAAUGUGACGAAAGAUUUAUUAUGUCUUUAUAGAAAUAAUAGUUUAAUUCUUUAUAUUUGACUCGCUAUUUUAUGGUGUUAAGAGUUUAAUUCAUGAAUAUUGUAUUUUCUUAAAAAUAAAUGCACAGCAUCAUAGA